This is an unclassified non-coding RNA of Macaca fascicularis (crab-eating macaque), 148 nucleotides long. It matches the Rfam family "Metazoan signal recognition particle RNA". From Rfam's summary of the family: The signal recognition particle (SRP) is a universally conserved ribonucleoprotein. The record is from Ensembl. NCBI's taxonomy places the organism in Eukaryota, Metazoa, Chordata, Mammalia, Primates, Cercopithecidae.
GCCGGGCGUAGUGCCGCACACCUGUAAUCCCAGCUACUCAGGAGGCUGAGGCAGGAGAAUCACUUGAACCCGGGAGGUGGAGGUUGCAGUGAGCCAAAACGGCGCCACUGUACUCCACCCUGGGUAACACAGUGAGACUUUGUCUCAA